GAUGAACGCUGGCGGCGUGCCUAAUACAUGCAAGUCGAGCGAACAGACGAGGAGCUUGCUCCUCUGACGUUAGCGGCGGACGGGUGAGUAACACGUGGAUAACCUACCUAUAAGACUGGGAUAACUUCGGGAAACCGGAGCUAAUACCGGAUAAUAUAUUGAACCGCAUGGUUCAAUAGUGAAAGACGGUUUUGCUGUCACUUUUAGAUGGAUCCGCGCCGCAUUAGCUAGUUGGUAAGGUAACGGCUUACCAAGGCAACGAUGCGUAGCCGACCUGAGAGGGUGAACGGCCACACUGGAACUGAGAAACGGUCCAGACUCCUAAGGGAGGCAGCAGUAGGGAAACUUCCGCAAUGGGCGAAAGCCUGACGGCGCAACGCCGCGUGAGUGAUGAAGGUCUUCGGAUCGUAAAACUCUGUUAUUAGGGAAGAACAAAUGUGUAAGUAACUAUGCACGUCUUGACGGUACCUAAUCAGAAAGCCACGGCUAACUACGUG
This 497-nucleotide ribosomal RNA is filed under the name uncultured bacterium. RNAcentral's name for it is "partial 16S ribosomal RNA". It matches the Rfam family "Bacterial small subunit ribosomal RNA", at positions 28 to 507 of the family's 1533-position model. The record is from RNAcentral.